RNAcentral lists this ribosomal RNA (479 nucleotides) under Cryptosporidium sp. vole genotype II. RNAcentral describes it as "SSU rRNA". It matches the Rfam family "Eukaryotic small subunit ribosomal RNA", at positions 512 to 1024 of the family's 1831-position model. Lineage: Eukaryota; Apicomplexa; Conoidasida; Eucoccidiorida; Cryptosporidiidae. The record is from RNAcentral.
GUGAGUUAAGUAUAAACCCCUUUACAAGUAUCAAUUGGAGGGCAAGUCUGGUGCCAGCAGCCGCGGUAAUUCCAGCUCCAAUAGCGUAUAUUAAAGUUGUUGCAGUUAAAAAGCUCGUAGUUGGAUUUCUGUUAAUAAUUUGUAUAAUAUUUUAACGAUAUUAUAUAAUAUUAACAUAAUUCAUAUUACUAUAUAUUUAAUAUAUGAAAUUUUACUUUGAGAAAAUUAGAGUGCUUAAAGCAGGCAUUUGCCUUGAAUACUCCAGCAUGGAAUAAUAUAGAAGAUUUUUAUCUUUUUUAUUGGUUCUAAGAUAGAAAUAAUGAUUAAUAGGGACAGUUGGGGGCAUUUGUAUUUAACAGUCAGAGGUGAAAUUCUUAGAUUUGUUAAAGACAAACUAAUGCGAAAGCAUUUGCCAAGGAUGUUUUCAUUAAUCAAGAACGAAAGUUAGGGGAUCGAAGACGAUCAGAUACCGUCGUAGU